GUAGGUGAACCUGCGGAAGGAUCAUUAGUGAAUUAAACAUGCUUGGUGUCUUCGCUUCGGCAAGGCCCUUGCUUAAAUCACAUCCUAACACCUGUGAACUGUAAGACGUAUGAUGAGGUCUUUGGCCAAGUCAUCGUCUGCCCAUUUUUAACAAACAAUUAAUGUAACAAACGUAGUCUUAUUAUAACCUAAUAAAACUUUCAACAACGGAUCUCUUGGCUCUC
This 224-nucleotide unclassified non-coding RNA is filed under the name rhizosphere metagenome. RNAcentral describes it as "partial ribosomal RNA internal transcribed spacer region". The record is from RNAcentral.